Engraulis encrasicolus (European anchovy) is the source of this 1265-nucleotide long non-coding RNA. RefSeq lists it as uncharacterized. The transcript is spliced from 6 exons. The record is from RefSeq and is a predicted model, not a curated record. NCBI's taxonomy places the organism in Eukaryota, Metazoa, Chordata, Actinopteri, Clupeiformes, Engraulidae.
AGAUGUUUUUCUGGCACAUAUUUUACCAUAUCAUCUGAAAAACUCCUCAUGACGCCAUAGCACCCAUUGAAAUAGAGUGUUUGGAAAAAAAACGAAAUCUUUUGGUCCAGUGUAGAGGGCGUAGUCAGAAGAAAACGGCAAUCAAUAGAAGUAAUACUCAUCAUCACUUCUAUUGGUUUCUGACACGUCCAUCAACCGCCAGCACUCACCCCUCCUCCCUGCGCGUUCACCGACUCGUGAACUUGACCGACCCCGCCCCCAUCAUUCAUGCACACGCGACAAGGCUCAUCAUCACUCGGCUAGUAGCAAGGUAACGAGAGUUAGCAGCAGGCUGAGCUACUUGGAAACUUUGGUGGCUUUUGCAGAGCUACAGGAAGAACUUUGGCUUUUGGAACACUAGACUACCGGUAACCAUGUCAGGAUAACAUACUCCCUUGGAUUAUCAUCGGACUCGCAAGACCAGACUCCAACACGGGCUGAAAAUUUGAAAUGGGACCUGACACUCUUGGACACAGAUGUCGGCUACGGCAGCGGCUUCAAAUACGCUUUGGUGACCAUAUUUCUAAUCGAGAGUUGUGCGAACGAGCCAGACAAACCAGCUGGGAGGAGGACGGAAGCACCCCUUCUCCAUCCGCGUUCAGUUGCUAAAUACGGAUCCACCCCGUAGUGUGGUGUUUUCCAUAGCUGCUCCUUGCUCCUGUUUCACAACAUAUCAAGGCUGCCAAGUAAAUGAAGAAUGAAUCACCGCACACUGGUCAACAGCCGACAGGGUCCUUCCACAACCACAUACUUAUGCCAGUAAAAGCCACAGCUUUUCUCCUCCAAUCCAAGAAGCCUGGACUGCAGUCACCAUCUCAACACACCAACCAAGAGAAAGGCGGAUGGCUCAAUUCAAUAUGGAAAAUUGCACAAUAAAAGUUCCAGGACAUGAAGGCUGCAUACUGUGAACGUCAACCUUCAGGGCACCGUCCUGCGCAGAAGACUUUCUACCCUAAGAGGGAUGGCUGACCGCAGACACUCACAACCAGCACAGACGCCUCCAACCUCAAACCAGGCCCUUCACAGUUGCUGCACUUACCCACCUUCCCAGAGUUUUUGUGUGGUAAUGACAACUGUAAAUAUAGUAUAAAGUAAUGUAUCUAGUGUCAUGUGUAAUACAUUGUUUAAAUUGUCCAUACAUUUCAAUGACAGUAAAUAUUGGUGGACACAAUUUGACUGUGUGGCUUUUUUUUUUAUUCAUUCUCUGACUGAAAAUGCAUGGUUAC